CAUAUCGUUCUUUAAUUUCCAAUUCCGAAAUUCGAAAUCAUCCUUCGAAGCUCCCUCUCCCUGGUAAUUAUUACGAGUUUGAUGAACGCGACGGCGCCUCGAAUUGUAUUUCCUCCUAUAUAACGACCGUGGUCACCUUUCCUUCCUCCAUGUAACGCGAUCUAUUUAUUCGUAGAUGGGAAAUAUCCGCGGUCGUUCGUACAAUACGAGCCAGAACUUGGACUCCCUUUGGUGGCCUGGGACCUUUCGAAGGUAGAGAGAGAAAGAAAGAGAGAAAGAGAGAGAGAGAGAGAGAAGGGUGGAGAAAUAUCGAACGAUAUAACCCUGCCUCCUGUCUCGAGAUACGACUUCUCUCUUUCGAGAAGAGAGAGAGAGAGAGAGAGAGGUAAGAAAAAAGGGAAGAAAGGAAGGAAGCGGACGUUGGCCGUUGGCUACUUACCGGCCGUGAAAUAUGAAAUUAAAUUCAUUAGGGUUCUCGCGGUUAUAAUAAAUCGAACGAUUGUGGCGGGAUUCGAGAGGACUUCGAGGGUGGCGGGCUCAAUAACUCAGACGGUUUGAAUGGAAAA
Long non-coding RNA from Apis dorsata (giant honeybee), 566 nucleotides. RefSeq lists it as uncharacterized. NCBI's taxonomy places the organism in Eukaryota, Metazoa, Arthropoda, Insecta, Hymenoptera, Apidae. The transcript has 2 exons. The record is from RefSeq and is a predicted model, not a curated record.